UGUCACGCCCUCUACUUCUAGGGCCAGAUAGGGGCAGCCUCUCUUUUCUCUUCUCCCCCCUCCCUCUUCUCUUUCUCCCUCUCUCUAAGCAGGUGUUGGUGUGAUGCAGCUUCAGGGCGGACAGGUGCAGCCACUUACUAAUCAGCGGAUCGAUCCGUGUGGCGGGGAGAGGAGCGCUCUCAUUCAUUCACCCGCUGCCAUAAAAACCAGACGCUUCCCACAACCCGACGCUGGACCGUAACCUGAAAAUCCCUUGCCCACUCCGCCUGCUCUUGCCGUCUGCGUACCCAGCUCUCCUGCUCUUCAUCCCAGCUCCGUCCAGGACGCCGCCUCACGCCAUCACCACCUGCCUCUCUCCCUCCAGUCGGAGUUCACGGACUGCCUGCUCACUCACUCUCUCGCUAGCUCUGGUAGUACCCGACCCUGUCUCGCGUUUUGCAGACAGCGCUUUUUGUUAUUUGUUCUGACCCUGUCUCGCGUUUUGCAGACAGCGUUUUUUGUUAAUUGUUCUGAUCCUGUCUCGCGUUUUUGCAGACAGCGCUUUUGUUAAUUAUUACUGUUCCAGUCUCGCGUUUUGCAGACAGCGCUUUUUGGUUAAUUAUUACUGUUCCAGUCUUGCGUUUUUACAGACAGCGUUUUUGUUAGUUAUUACUGAUCCUGUCUCGCGUUUUUCAGACAGCGCUUUUUGUUAAUUGUUACUGCCCACCUUAGUUCCGUUUUCCUAUUUCUGUUUGCAUUUUUGGACCAAAUAAAUAUCUGUUUAACUGAACUGCUCUGACUUGAGUCUCUUUGUCCGCAUUUGAGCCUCGGUGCCUGAACCGUGACAGUACGGUCCAGCCAAGAUGAGCUCAGCAGACAAAGAGACUGGCGCGGAGGCAGUCUCCCCCGCUACCACGUUUCAACAAGCUAUUGCUAAUCAGGAAUGCGUGUUAGCUCAACAUGAUGAAUUGUUGCGUUCCCUGGUCAGUAGUAAUCAUGUUAUGCUUAAUCAGAUCUCUGAACUAACCACCCAGUUAAGAGGGUUGGCUGGUCAAAUUGCUAAGACUGCUCCCCCAGGCUCAGCGUUAGCCGCUAAUCCUGUCUUGGCUAGCGUUAGUGUUCCACCUCCCUCUCGUGAACCUGUAGUGCCUGUACCUGAACGUUACAGGGGGAGUUAGGAUCCUGCCAGGCCUUUUUAACUCAGGUUUCACUAGUUUUUGAGAUGCAGCCUCUCUCCUAUGCCUCCGAUCGUUCAAAAAUAGCUUACACCAUUGGGUUAUUGUCAGGACAGGCGAGAGAGUGGGGCACGGCUGUUUGGGGACGCCAGGACAGUGCCUGUGAGUCCUACGCGGCGUUCGUGGCAGAGAUGAGGAAGGUCUUUGACCACCCAGUAAGCGGUAACAACGCCAGCCACCGCCUCAUGGCCAUCUCCCAAGGGACAAGGAGUGUCGCAGAGUUUGCGGUGGAGUUCCGGACGCUGGCUGCAGAGAGCUCCUGGAACGACGGCGCGCUCCAGGGAGCCUUUUACAAAGGGCUAGGUGAGGCCCUAAAGGACGAGCUGGCAACUCGUGACGACUCUCCAGACCUAGACCACCUCAUCGCAUUAGCGAUUAAGAUUGACAACCGGCUCCGGGAAAGGAGGCGAGAACGCAGCGCCCGCUCUGUACUAGGACCCACCAGAACCCCAAGUACCCCAGGCCCCAGAACUCAGCCGGACCCCCCGCCGGAGUCUCUCCCAGAGCCAAUGCAGAUCGGCCGGGCCCACCUCACUGAGUCGGAGAAGUUACAACGUCGGUCAGCAAACCUGUGCCUGUAUUGUGGGCGUCCGGGUCACUACAUUGCCUCCUGCCCCGCCCGUCCGCCAAAAGGUCCGGCUCGCCAGUGACGGGGGAUCUGCUGGUGAGCCGUACUACUACUUCGCCCCCACAACGUCUCCAAGUGGCCAUAACCCUGUGUUGGCAGCGUCAGCCUAUCCCUCUUCUAGCCCUGGUGGAUUCUGGGGCUGAAGAGAAUUUCCUGGACUCUCGCCUGGCGUCCCAGCUCGGCAUUCCCACAGAAACUCUUGACGCGCCCCUGGAGGCUCGUGCUCUGAACGGACUCCACCUGGCCCAAGUCCGCCAUAAGACUGUUCCGGUCUCCCUGGUGGUGGGGGGCAACCACCAUGAGACAAUUUCCUUCCACCUCAUCGACCAGUCUAGUCCACCCUUGGUUCUUGGGUUCCCUUGGCUCCAGGUCCAUAAUCCCCACAUUGACUGGCAGCAGGGGGAGAUCCGUUCCUGGAGCCGGGAGUGCUACCAACGUUGCCUGACAUCUGCCCUGACUCCUGAAACUCGAGCCAGCCCCCGGGCCCUACCUUCCGAACCCCUCAACCUGGACCUUGUACCUUCUGUGUACCACGAUCUGGCCAUGGUUUUUAGCAAGGAUCAAGCCCUGUCUCUGCCCCCACACAGACCCUACGACUGAGCUAUAGACUUACUUCCCGGAGCUACACUACCCCGUUGCAGACUGUACAACCUGUCUAGACCUGAACAGGCCACCAUGGAGUCCUACAUCCGCGAUUCUCUGGCGGCUGGCAUCAUCCGCCCCUCUUCAUCCCCUGUCGGCGCUGGAUUCUUUUUUGUCUCCAAGAAGGACAAAUCCCUCCGUCCCUGCAUAGACUUCCGGGGCCUCAAUGACAUUACUGUUAAGAAUACUUACCCCCUUCCCCUAAUCAAUUCUGCCUUCACCCCGCUGCAUGGAGCCUCUGUCUUCACCAAACUGGAUCUUAGAAAUGCCUACCACCUCAUCCGAAUCCGGGAGGGCGACGAGUGGAAGACCGCCUUCAAUACUCCCCUGGGACACUUUGAAUACCUGGUCAUGCCCUUCGGCCUCACUAACGCCCCCGCAGUUUUCCAGAACCUCAUCAACGACGUCUUGAGGGACAUGCUCAAUCGGUUCGUCUUCGUCUACCUGGAUGACAUCUUAAUAUACUCCCGAAACCUUGAGGAACACGUCUGCCAUGUCCGCCAGGUCCUCGAACGUCUCCUCCAGAACCGCCUCUUCGUCAAGGCAGAGAAAUGCGAGUUCCACGCAUCCACUGUGGCUUUCCUGGGAUUCAUCAUCUCCUCCGGGGAGGUCAAGAUGGACCCAUUAAAGGUGGAGGCAGUGACUGAGUGGCCCCGUCCCGAAGACCGGAGACAGCUUCAGCGCUUCCUUGGUUUUGCAAACUUCUACCGCCGUUUCAUCCGAAAUUACAGCUCUGUUGCAGCCCCCCUGACCACCCUCACUUCCACCACCAAGAUCUUUUGUUGGACCCCUGAAGCAA
Non-coding RNA from Xyrichtys novacula (pearly razorfish), 3283 nucleotides. NCBI's taxonomy places the organism in Eukaryota, Metazoa, Chordata, Actinopteri, Labriformes, Labridae. The record is from the annotation of a GenBank genome assembly.